AUUGAACGCUGGCGGCAUGCCUUACACAUGCAAGUCGAACGGUAACAGAUCUUCGGAUGCUGACGAGUGGCGAACGGGUGAGUAAUACAUCGGAACGUGCCCGAUCGUGGGGGAUAACGAAGCGAAAGCUUUGCUAAUACCGCAUACGAUCUACGGAUGAAAGCAGGGGACCGCAAGGCCUUGCGCGAACGGAGCGGCCGAUGGCAGAUUAGGUAGGUGGUGGGAUAAAAGCUUACCAAGCCGACGAUCUGUAGCUGGUCUGAGAGGACGACCAGCGACACUGGGACGGAGACACGGCCCAGACUCCUACGGGAGGAAGCAGUGGGUAAUUUUGGACAAUGGGCGAAAGCCUGAUCCAGCCAUGCCGCGUGCAGGAUGAAGGCCUUCGGGUUGUAAACUGCUUUUGUACGGAACGAAAAGACUCUGGUUAAUACCUGGGGUCCAUGACGGUACCGUAAGAAUAAGCACCGGCUAACUACGUGCCAGCCGCCGCAGUAA
RNAcentral lists this ribosomal RNA (498 nucleotides) under uncultured bacterium. Its description in RNAcentral is "partial 16S ribosomal RNA". It matches the Rfam family "Bacterial small subunit ribosomal RNA", at positions 30 to 523 of the family's 1533-position model. The record is from RNAcentral.